AUUGAACGCUGGCGGCAGGCCUAACACAUGCAAGUCGAACGGUAGCACAGAGAGCUUGCUCUCGGGUGACGAGUGGCGGACGGGUGAGUAAUGUCUGGGAAACUGCCCGAUGGAGGGGGAUAACUACUGGAAACGGUAGCUAAUACCGCAUAACGUCGCAAGACCAAGGUGGGGGACCUUCGGGCCCCACACCAUCGGAUGUGCCCAGAUGGGAUUAGCUAGUAGGUGGGGUAAUGGCUCACCUAGGCGACGAUCCCUAGCUGGUCUGAGAGGAUGACCAGCCACACUGGAACUGAGACACGGUCCAGACUCCUACGGGAGGCAGCAGUGGGGAAUAUUGCACAAUGGGCGCAAGCCUGAUGCAGCCAUGCCGCGUGUAUGAAGAAGGCCUUCGGGUUGUAAAGUACUUUCAGCGGGGAGGAAGGCGGUGAAGUUAAUAACUUCACCGAUUGACGUUACCCGCAGAAGAAGCACCGGCUAACUCCGUGCCAGCAGCCGCCGUAA
This 504-nucleotide ribosomal RNA is filed under the name uncultured bacterium. Its description in RNAcentral is "partial 16S ribosomal RNA". It matches the Rfam family "Bacterial small subunit ribosomal RNA", at positions 30 to 523 of the family's 1533-position model. The record is from RNAcentral.